CUUAUUUCUUCUUCUAUAUAUAUGCUUCAUAGUAUUACAUGAUCCUUUAAUGGUAUUGCGCGAUUUCCUUUGAUCAAAUAAUGUUAAUAUAAUGUAUUUUAAGAUGCAAUAUGAAUGAGGACAACUUUCUCCACGUAUAAACACUCAUCUAUUUAAAUCAGUCGAUCCAGUCAAGAAACUUGUUAUGUUAAAAUUGGCAGAGAUUGACAGAACAAUCCACGAUAUGGUGUAUGCUGUUAAUCCCUAAUUUGAUGUUUAAUAACGUAAAAAAAUGGGAAGGACGUAGAGAUCCAUUAUACAGAAUGGUCGAUUGACGUGGAACUCAAUGGGCUUCGGC
This 337-nucleotide unclassified non-coding RNA is filed under the name Bombus terrestris (buff-tailed bumblebee). RNAcentral describes it as "misc RNA ENSBTSG00005035666.1". The record is from RNAcentral. Lineage: Eukaryota; Metazoa; Arthropoda; Insecta; Hymenoptera; Apidae.